Molecule: small nucleolar RNA, 181 nt
Filed under: Homo sapiens (human)
Lineage: Eukaryota; Metazoa; Chordata; Mammalia; Primates; Hominidae
Description: Small nucleolar RNA U3
Rfam family: Small nucleolar RNA U3
About the family: Small nucleolar RNAs (snoRNAs) are involved in the processing and modification of rRNA in the nucleolus. There are two main classes of snoRNAs: the box C/D class, and the box H/ACA class.
Source: Rfam by way of RNAcentral
AAGUCACGCUUAGCUUCUGCAAGUAUUUGUUUUGCAGUAUUGAAAAACUCCUCCAUGAGGAGGGCACAGCGUUCUGCCUGGAGUGUGAGGCCGGUGUUGCUUGGCUGCAGCUGCCAUUUGCCACUGAUGAUCAUUCUUCUCUUCCCCUGUGAGAGUAAGGAGAGGAUGCAGUCUGAGUGGU